UACGUAGGGGGCAAGCGUUAUCCGGAUUUACUGGGUGUAAAGGGGGCGCAGACGGCAGCGCAAGCCAGGAGUGAAAGCCCGGGGCCCAACCCCGGGACUGCUCUUGGAACUGCGCGGCUGGAGUGCAGGAGGGGCAGGCGGAAUUCCUGGUGUAGCGGUGAAAUGCGUAGAUAUCAGGAGGAACCCCGGUGGCGAAGGCGGCCUGCUGGACUGCGACUGACGUUGAGGCCCGAAAGCGUGGGGAGCAAACAGG
This 253-nucleotide ribosomal RNA is filed under the name uncultured bacterium. RNAcentral's name for it is "partial 16S ribosomal RNA". It matches the Rfam family "Bacterial small subunit ribosomal RNA", at positions 524 to 776 of the family's 1533-position model. The record is from RNAcentral.